Molecule: non-coding RNA, 184 nt
Organism: Camelina sativa (false flax)
Lineage: Eukaryota; Viridiplantae; Streptophyta; Magnoliopsida; Brassicales; Brassicaceae
Source: RefSeq, a predicted model, not a curated record
UUUUUAAAUGGAGUCAAGAAGCAGGUUUGCAUAAAUUGGAUGUGUUUGAAAAAUGCUUGAAGCUAAGUUUAAGGUCUGAGUGAUGAGUUAAGAUAUGCGUAAUAAAGAAUCAUUGUAUUGUUGGGACUUCAUUGAUGUGAGAUUCCAAACAUAGCUGUUACCUCUACCAAUCUGAUUCACGAGU